RNAcentral lists this ribosomal RNA (250 nucleotides) under uncultured bacterium. Its description in RNAcentral is "partial 16S ribosomal RNA". It matches the Rfam family "Bacterial small subunit ribosomal RNA", at positions 524 to 773 of the family's 1533-position model. The record is from RNAcentral.
UACGAAGGGGGCUAGCGUUGUUCGGAAUUACUGGGCGUAAAGCGUAUGCAGGCGGACUUUUAAGUCGGGGGUGAAAUCCCGAGGCUCAACCUCGGAACUGCCUUCGAUACUGGAAGUCUUGAGUCCGGGAGAGGUGAGUGGAACUCCGAGUGUAGAGGUGAAAUUCGUAGAUAUUCGGAAGAACACCAGUGGCGAAGGCGGCUCACUGGCCCGGUACUGACGCUGAGAUACGAAAGCGUGGGGAGCAAAC